RNAcentral lists this ribosomal RNA (216 nucleotides) under uncultured bacterium. RNAcentral describes it as "partial 16S ribosomal RNA". It matches the Rfam family "Bacterial small subunit ribosomal RNA", at positions 524 to 739 of the family's 1533-position model. The record is from RNAcentral.
GACAGAGGGUGCAAACGUUGUUCGGAAUUACUGGGCGUAAAGCGCGUGUAGGCUGCUUCGCAAGUCGGAUGUGAAAGCCCUGGGCUCAACCCAGGAAGUGCAUUCGAAACUGCAGAGCUGGAGUCCUGGAGAGGAAGGCGGAAUUCUCGGUGUAGAGGUGAAAUUCGUAGAUAUCGAGAGGAACACCGGUGGCGAAGGCGGCCUUCUGGACAGUGA